AGUGAACGCUGGCGGUAGGCCUAACACACGCAAGUCGAACGGCAGCACAGGAGAGCUUGCUCUCUGGGUGGCGAGUGGCGGACGGGUGAGGAAUACAUCGGAAUCUACUUUUUCGUGAGGGAUAACGUAGGGAAACUUACGCUAAUACCGCAUACGACCUACGGGUGAAAGCAGGGGAUCUUCGGACCUUGCGCGAUUGAAUGAGCCGAUGUCGGAUUAGCUAGUUGGCGGGGUAAAGGCCCACCAAGGCGACGAUCCGUAGCUGGUCUGAGAGGAUGAUCAGCCACACUGGAACUGAGACACGGUCCAGACUCCUACGGGAGGCAGCAGUGGGGAAUAUUGGACAAUGGGCGCAAGCCUGAUCCAGCCAUACCGCGUGGGUGAAGAAGGCCUUCGGGUUGUAAAGCCCUUUUGUUGGGAAAGAAAUCCAGCUGGUUAAUACCCGGUUGGGAUGACGGUACCCAAAGAAUAAGCACCGGCUAACUUCGUGCCAGCCGCCGCAGUAA
This 506-nucleotide ribosomal RNA is filed under the name uncultured bacterium. Its description in RNAcentral is "partial 16S ribosomal RNA". It matches the Rfam family "Bacterial small subunit ribosomal RNA", at positions 29 to 523 of the family's 1533-position model. The record is from RNAcentral.